GUGGGGAAUCUUAGACAAUGGGGGAAACCCUGAUCUAGCCAUGCCGCGUGAGCGAUGAAGGCCUUAGGGUUGUAAAGCUCUUUCAGCUGGGAAGAUAAUGACUGUACCAGCAGAAGAAGCCCCGGCUAACUCCGUGCCAGCAGCCGCGGUAAUACGGAGGGGGCUAGCGUUGUUCGGAAUUACUGGGCGUAAAGCGCACGUAGGCGGACCGGAAAGUCAGAGGUGAAAUCCCAGGGCUCAACCUUGGAACUGCCUAUGAAACUCCUGGUCUUGAGGUCGAGAGAGGUGAGUGGAAUUCCGAGUGUAGAGGUGAAAUUCGUAGAUAUUCGGAGGAACACCAGUGGCGAAGGCGGCUCACUGGCUCGAUACUGACGCUGAGGUGCGAAAGCGUGGGGAGCAAACAGGAUUAGAAACCCGUGUAGUCC
RNAcentral lists this ribosomal RNA (425 nucleotides) under uncultured bacterium. RNAcentral describes it as "partial 16S ribosomal RNA". It matches the Rfam family "Bacterial small subunit ribosomal RNA", at positions 354 to 796 of the family's 1533-position model. The record is from RNAcentral.